This is a small nuclear RNA of Cannabis sativa, 102 nucleotides long. The record is from RefSeq and is a predicted model, not a curated record. Lineage: Eukaryota; Viridiplantae; Streptophyta; Magnoliopsida; Rosales; Cannabaceae.
GUCACUUCAGGGACAUCCCAUAAAUUGGAACAGUACAGAAAAGACUAACAUAGCCCCUGAGCAAGGAUGACAUGCACAAAAUAAGAACAAAAAUGGAUAUCU